Molecule: unclassified non-coding RNA, 254 nt
Filed under: Candidatus Kaiserbacteria bacterium
Lineage: Bacteria; Candidatus Kaiseribacteriota
Description: contains 16S-23S intergenic spacer region
Rfam family: Bacterial small subunit ribosomal RNA
Source: RNAcentral
UACGAGGGCCCCAAGCGUUAUCCGGAAUUACUGGGCGUAAAGAGUGUGUAGGUGGUGUAGGUUAGUCUCGCGUUAAAAACCAGAGCUCAACUCUGGCCUCGCGCGAGAAACGGCCUCACUAGAGGGCAGGAGAGGUAUGCGGAACUCACGGUGUAGGGGUGAAAUCCGUUGAUAUCGUGGGGAACACCAAAGGGGAAGCCAGCAUACUGGAAUGUUCCUGACACUGAGACACGAAACCCUGGGUAGCGAAAGGG